This 558-nucleotide ribosomal RNA is filed under the name Triticum aestivum (bread wheat). Its description in RNAcentral is "partial small subunit ribosomal RNA". The record is from RNAcentral. Lineage: Eukaryota; Viridiplantae; Streptophyta; Magnoliopsida; Poales; Poaceae.
AUGGCGUUCAAUCUUCUCGCUGACCAUCAUACUGAAGAUAUGCAGGAUUUGAUUAAUUUGAUGAGUACACAACAAAAAGAUCUUCUCUACCAAAUAAGCCCAGCACUCUUACUUCGCCAUCAAAGAUCAGAUCGAUAUACUCGACUCUAUGAGUAUGUCAAAUACAAAGUGGGCACUUUUCAGAAGGAGCUCAUACUCGAGAAGUUGCUUCAAUUGCCAUGGGUGCUCCAAUGGAAGAGCAAGGUGCCGCAGAACAAUGUACUUAAGGAAACUUUUGACUUCAUUCCGGGUAGCUAUGACCUGAAGCGCCCGACGGAUGAGCAUAAUAAUCCAACAACUCCGUGGACUGAACGCGAACAGAAGCUUAAGCUGGUGGAGUUAUUGCUUGAUUUUGUGAGAAAUGGAACUGCACACCGAUCCCAAAGGAAAACCAAAGUCGAUCCAGAUCAGUUUGAAACCAUCAUUAUGGUUUUUUACCUCAUGCUACUUCCCAAGUUGCAAGAAGCUGUUUAUGAUGUGGCAGGAAAGCCUGCUCUUGUAUAUUUGGGAUUGGCCUAG